Molecule: transfer-messenger RNA, 355 nt
Filed under: Beijerinckiaceae bacterium
Lineage: Bacteria; Pseudomonadati; Pseudomonadota; Alphaproteobacteria; Hyphomicrobiales; Beijerinckiaceae
Rfam family: Alphaproteobacteria transfer-messenger RNA
About the family: Bacterial tmRNA, also known as 10Sa RNA or SsrA, is named for its dual tRNA and mRNA-like properties. Its role is to liberate the mRNA from a stalled ribosome. To accomplish this part of the tmRNA is used as a reading frame that ends in a translation stop signal.
Source: RNAcentral
UCCCUUCAAUUCGGCGCGCAACACCCCUAUAUUGACGGUGUCGUCCUCGUGGCGACUAUGGCGAUAAACGGCUGUCGUAAUAAACCCAUCGGACCCGGGGGCGGUACCCGGCGCCUCCACCUCAAGGCCGCAUGCGGCCUUGAGGCGGGGGCGAAACAGGAUCGACGAGGGCGUAAAGGGUAGACUUUCGCUCGGCAUGAUACCGCCGUUAUCGGGUCAAACCUAUAGUUGCGAAUGACAACUAUGCUCCGGUUGCCCAGGCCGCGUAACGCGGUUUGGAAUUCCGAACCUAAGUCCUUGCGGGUAGCACCGUAAGGCGGGGCCGGCAGGCGCCUGGCAACAGAAGCCUGCCACU